Long non-coding RNA from Terrapene triunguis (Three-toed box turtle), 175 nucleotides. RefSeq lists it as uncharacterized. The record is from RefSeq and is a predicted model, not a curated record. NCBI's taxonomy places the organism in Eukaryota, Metazoa, Chordata, Testudines, Emydidae. The transcript has 2 exons.
GCAGGGGUCCCCUGCACUGAGCCCCCCUACCCCCCUGCAUCCCUUCCAUCUCAGGGUGCUUCAGGGGCUUCUUCAGGCUCUUCCCGGAGGUGAGCCGCGGCCUGCUGGUGGACUGAGCAGGAGCAGCGUGGGGGCCUGAGCCGCCCGCGGGGGCUAUUAAAGUGCAUUCACCAUU